CUCAACGCAGGCAGUUAUGGUGGCAGACACAUUCCAGAUGGAAAGAUCAUCCUGUUUCCAGACACUGUAACAAAGGCUUUGGCAGUUGCGCACCACUGUGAGACACAAGCCUAAAGUCAAGUCGCAGGAAAUGACUAAAUGUGAUUGGCGUGGGUCAGAGGGCAUUACCCUUGGGAUUGGAGACAAU
RNAcentral lists this long non-coding RNA (187 nucleotides) under Callithrix jacchus (white-tufted-ear marmoset). RNAcentral describes it as "lncRNA (ENSCJAG00000077890.1)". Lineage: Eukaryota; Metazoa; Chordata; Mammalia; Primates; Cebidae. The record is from RNAcentral.